RNAcentral lists this ribosomal RNA (687 nucleotides) under Oxyrrhis marina. Its description in RNAcentral is "partial Bacterial large subunit ribosomal RNA". It matches the Rfam family "Bacterial large subunit ribosomal RNA", at positions 458 to 1143 of the family's 2925-position model. Lineage: Eukaryota; Dinophyceae; Oxyrrhinales; Oxyrrhinaceae. The record is from RNAcentral.
CUCUAAGGCUAAAUACUCGUGAUCGACCGAUAGUGAACCAGUACCGUGAGGGAAAGGCGAAAAGAACCCCUGUGAGGGGAGUGAAAUAGAACCUGAAACCGUAUGCGUACAAGCAGUGGGAGCACCUUCGGGUGUGACUGCGUACCUUUUGUAUAAUGGGUCAGCGAGUUACUUUGACGAGCAAGCCUAAGCCGUUAGGCGUAAGCGAAGCGAAAGCGAGUCUGAAUAGGGCGACGUAGUUAGUAGUAGUAGACGCGAAACCCGGUGAUCUACCCAUGAGCAGGUUGAAGUUCCAGUAACAUGGAAUGGAGGACCGAACCCGUUGACGUUGAAAAGUCUUGGGAUGACUUGUGGGUAGGGGUGAAAGGCCAAUCAAACCAGGAAAUAGCUCGUACUCCCCGAAAUGUUUUUAGGAACAGCGUGGAGGUAAAGUCUGUUAGAGGUAGAGCUACCGAUAGGACUAGGGGGAGUCAAAUCCUACCAAAUCCUGAUGAACUCCGAAUGCUAAUAGAUAUACUCCGCAGUGAGGGUAAGGGUGCUAAGGUCCUUAUCCGAGAGGGAAAGAACCCAGACCUUCAGCUAAGGUCCCAAAGUGUAUACUAAGUUGAACUAAGGCGGUCCAGUUGCAUAGACAGCCAGGAUGUUGGCUUGGAAGCAGCCAUUCAUUUAAAGAGUGCGUAACAGCUC